RNA transcript from Paramormyrops kingsleyae, 2894 nucleotides. It is a transcript of the gene named translin-associated factor X interacting protein 1, with no coding region annotated. NCBI's taxonomy places the organism in Eukaryota, Metazoa, Chordata, Actinopteri, Osteoglossiformes, Mormyridae. The record is from RefSeq and is a predicted model, not a curated record.
UUUUAAAAAUUAUAAUAAUAACACGUUUUACGUAUAUUAGUAACCAUCUAACUAGUUAAAAAUGACCUGUGCAUUAUGAGGUGUUCAAUACAGUGGAUAUAAUAAAUACUCGUAUCUAAAGCAUAAAAGUGUAGUAUCUAAAAAAUGCGCAAGCCUUCGCGGAGGACAUCUUUUAGAGGUCCUGUUUGGGUCCUUCGUCUCUAUGGCAACAUCCUAAACACGGGACACUAAUAGCGGUUCAGUCACCAACCUCUCAAACAAGUACGCAGAGUUAAAAAAAAAAUCGAACAUAUCAACAUUACUGUUUAGGAGGCAGUAUCACGCGGACACAACCAGAUGUCGGUACAACAAGAAACCAGGUUUCCUCCAUUGCAAGAGUCGGAGAAGCAGGACAGAAGAUUUUCUUCAGGCAAUCCACGAGUUAAUGGGGAAAGUGAAAAGUGGGUUCCAAUUACUAUGCCCCGAGGGGCUGCGUUAAUGAAACAACUACGUGCUGUAAGUACCUCAGGUUGUCUCAGUACCUGGCCUGCCCAUGUGACCUCACAGAUUCUUCAGCAAAGGCAAAAGAACCUGUCACUGGGGUUGAAUCACGGCUUUGCUACCGAAGUUGGCGGCGUGAGGGGAAAGCCACGGUUCCUGCAGAUGCUAGAGCGUUACCUAAGGUUGGAACUGCAAGCCCUGAAUCCCCAUCAGCCCAAAGCUCAGGAGUGCAGACUGCAGGUGUACCGGGACGUUUUCGACUGCUUCAUCGAGGACCUGAAAACCUACAAGCCACUGCUGUCUGCCAUCAAAAACGAGUAUGAAGUUGCAUUAGCACAUAUGCAGGAUCAGAUCCGAGAGCUGGAGCCACUGCAAGCACAACUGGUCAUAGUGUCAGAGCAGUGUGAGCAGCGUGUCCUGGCCCUGCGUGAGCAGGAAAGGUCGGAGGUCAAUUCCCUCAAGCAAGAGGCUCAAUGUCUGCAGAACAUCAUUGAUGAAAUGAGGGAGCAGCAGGACAUUCUACAGACUCAGGUCCGUGUCCUGCAGAGGGAUUUGGCUGAUCAGUACCUGGCCUAUCGUCAGGAGCACGAGGCCCGCAGGCUGCUCAUUGCCGGCUCCGGCAAUGCGGGCCACAGGCCGGGGGAGGUCCAAAUGAAGCAGGAGAGCGACCCUGCUGAAAUGAAGCAGGAGCUGAAUGCGUGCCGCCGGGAUCUGACCCGGGUCCGAGUGGAGAUGGAGCGUCUGCGAGCUCAGUAUGCGGACAUGGUGCCACGCAGAGACUGGCAGGCUUUGCACUGCGCCCACCAGGAGAGCCAGCUGAGGCUGCAGACGCUGCAGACAGACUUCGAUCAGCUCAGGGCUGAGUACGAUAUGCUGUUAGAGGUGCACGGCCAGGCCGCACCGCAGCGGGGCCGCCUCCAGAGGGAGCCGAAGAUGCUGCAGGAUGUUGUCGUCCCUCGUCCCCACCGGGAAGAAGGCACAGAUCUGCUCUUGGAGAACCAGUCCAGCCAGCAGCUGAAGGGGAUCCUCCUGGAGAAGCAGGGACGGAGGACGGCAAACCCAGACAUGGAGGAGCUCUUCACUGACCUGGUACUCGCCACAAGCUGCUUCUCAGCCAUGAACAGAAAGCACCAGCAGCACUGGAGUGACACUCGACUCCGUUGUGGGUUUUAUCCAAAGGGACUUACAGCUUUAACCAUUAAUCCAAUUGGAUAUUGGAUUUGGGUAGUUUGCCUUUAAACAAGGUCCUACAGAAAAACCAAGAAAGCUCUGGAUCCACAUCCUUAACUCCUACACUGCUCUGUUCCCCUUGAAUAUGAAUGAUCGCCAGGUGAAAUGUGUAAGUUUCUUUGGAUAACAGAAUCAUUGGUACAUUGAGUCUAACCCAGAAGGCACUGGGCACAAGGCAGGGGGGACCCAGGAUCCCAUGCCACUGCAUCACAGGCACAGUCUUCUAGAGAAACCAGUCGACGGAGAGACCUUAUCUCUGGGCUGUAAGGGGAGGUGCAGCGGGCAGAGGAACCCCACACUAACUUGGAGAGAACAUGCAAAACCCACCCACAGCUCUGGAACUGUACAGCUUCUGCACUAACCACGGAGCCAGCACACCAUUCCAAGAAUGAGAUAAGCGAAAAAAUGUGAAUGUGAGGCUCGCAGCACCUCUGGGCUACAGGCACAGAAGUGACUCGGAGAUUCAUGAAGGGCCACUAAAGCUGUCAGAGUCAGACACUCCACUGACUCAGCUACUCAGGAAUCAUGUCAUAUCUGACAUGUGAUGCUCAAUCUGAAUGGGAGCUCAUUCAUGAGCCAAGCCAUUCAGUUAGUAUUCAUGCCUUUGAGUCUCCAGUUGAUGUGGCGCGUUGCUUGUUUUUGAGAAGUAGAGCUCCCUCUACUGCCCAUCCGGGGUACUGCAGACAGUGUUCCUCUCCACCUGCCGUUUAAGGGGUAGCUGAAGAAUUUCAAGCUUGAUUUACCAGAUUUAGUGAACAACCUACAAGUGGUCUGGAAAGCUGGAAAGCCACUGCAGAUGAGGAGGGAGGAAAGGAUCAAGCUGCUGGAGACACAGGGAGGAGCACUGGGCCUACAGCCUGGUGGAGGCCUUCUGCAGACACAGGGAGGAGCACUGGGCCUACAGCCUGGUGGAGGCCUGCUGCAGACACAGGGAGGAGCUGCUGCAGACACAGGGAGGAGCACUGGGCCUACAGCCUGCUGGACGCCUGCUGGAGACACAGGGAGGAGGGCUGGGCCUACAGCCUGCUGGACGCCUGCUGGAGACAUAGGGAGGAGCACUGGGCCUACAGCCUGGUGGAGGCCUGCUGGAGACACAGGGAGGAGCACUGGGCCUACAGCCUGAUGGAGGCCUGCUGGAGACACAGGGAGGAGCACUGGGCCUACAGCCUGGUGGAAGCCUUCUG